RNAcentral lists this ribosomal RNA (810 nucleotides) under Triticum aestivum (bread wheat). RNAcentral's name for it is "partial small subunit ribosomal RNA". Lineage: Eukaryota; Viridiplantae; Streptophyta; Magnoliopsida; Poales; Poaceae. The record is from RNAcentral.
AUGGUCGAAGAGUCCGACAAGGAUAUUCAGAAUCUCAAAUUCCUCCUCCUAUGCUUUCAGGAGUUGUCGGGCCUUAUGAUUAACUUCGCCAAAAGUAAGGUGAUGGUCCAGGGAUAUUCCCAUGCCGAAGCCCAGAGAAUCGCCAACCGCCUAAAUUUUCGUCUGGGGUCUGUCCCGACCACUUAUUUAGGCAUGCCCAUUAGUGACACGCGUCUCCUGGAGAAGGUCUUCCGCCCAAUAGUCGCCAAACUCCAACCAAGGAUGGAGCCUUGGCAGGGGAGAUGGUUAUCCAAGGCCGCGCAAGUGAUUUUGAUGAAUUCCUCCCUCAUUAGCCUCUUGAUGUACCUCAUGGGAUUCUAUAGUCUUCACGAAUCCCUCCAUAAGGAGGUCACCAAGCUCCUCUCCGGAUUCUUCUGGGCUGGAGAGAAUAAUAAACAACAGUACCACAUGGUGAAGUGUUCUGAGAUUUGUAAGCCCGACCAAGGGGGCCUUGGGGUCAUCUCAUCAAAGCGAAUGAACAUAGCCCUCCUCUCCAAAUGGCUCUGGCGUAUCCAGACCGGUGAGAGAGUCUUGUGGUUGGUGAUUAUUCGCGCAAAAUACCUGCACGGGCAACCGUUGGCCUUCGCUUCUCGUUUUGGAGGCUCCCAAUUCUGGCAAACGGUGGUCCGGUUGAUGCCGAUCUUGCGUAUUGGGACCUCCAUCAAAGUGGGGUCCGGAUCAGGCACCCUGUUUUGGCUGGAUAGGUGGGCUGGGAAUCGGCCCUUCGCGGAGCGUUUUCAUGCCUUAUUCUCGAUUUGCGCCCACCCAUAG